Molecule: transfer RNA, 76 nt
Filed under: Hyphomonadaceae bacterium
Lineage: Bacteria; Pseudomonadati; Pseudomonadota; Alphaproteobacteria; Hyphomonadales; Hyphomonadaceae
Description: tRNA-Thr
Rfam family: tRNA
About the family: Transfer RNA (tRNA) molecules are approximately 80 nucleotides in length. Their secondary structure includes four short double-helical elements and three loops (D, anti-codon, and T loops).
Source: RNAcentral
GCCCCUGUAGCUCAGUCGGUAGAGCACCUGAUUUGUAAUCAGGGGGUCCGCGGUUCGAGUCCGUGCGGGGGCACCA